UUCUGACUUCAAGCCAGAAUUCUGGACUCAAUGUAAAAGAUACAGAGAAGAUUAUCAAGGCUGCAAAAGAAAAGAAACAAUUAACAAAUAGAGGUGUCCUAAUUUA
This 106-nucleotide small nuclear RNA is filed under the name Marmota monax (woodchuck). Lineage: Eukaryota; Metazoa; Chordata; Mammalia; Rodentia; Sciuridae. The record is from RNAcentral.